Molecule: small RNA, 95 nt
Filed under: Arabidopsis thaliana (thale cress)
Lineage: Eukaryota; Viridiplantae; Streptophyta; Magnoliopsida; Brassicales; Brassicaceae
Description: ATSL286220
Source: RNAcentral
UAUAGACAUACGAAUCAUCUCAUUGUACAAUUCUUCAGCAUCCAAAAACUUUCCUUCUUUCACAAACGCAUCGAUCAAUGCAUUGAAAGUGAUUA